GCAGAGAUGUCAGAGCGGUCGAAUGAGCACGAUUGGAAAUCGUGUGAUGUGAAAGCAUCCGCAGGUUCAAAUCCUGUUCUCUGCGCCA
RNAcentral lists this transfer RNA (88 nucleotides) under Candidatus Onthoplasma faecigallinarum. Its description in RNAcentral is "tRNA-Ser". It matches the Rfam family "tRNA". Rfam says of the family: Transfer RNA (tRNA) molecules are approximately 80 nucleotides in length. Lineage: Bacteria; Bacillati; Bacillota; Clostridia; Christensenellales; Christensenellaceae. The record is from RNAcentral.